RNAcentral lists this ribosomal RNA (279 nucleotides) under uncultured bacterium. RNAcentral describes it as "partial 16S ribosomal RNA". It matches the Rfam family "Bacterial small subunit ribosomal RNA", at positions 506 to 784 of the family's 1533-position model. The record is from RNAcentral.
UGCCAGCAGCCGCGGGAAUACGGAGGGUGCAAGCGUUGUUCGGAAUUACUGGGCGUAAAGCGCGCGUAGGCGGCUAUUUAAGUCAGAUGUGAAAGCCCUGGGCUCAACCUGGGAACUGCAUUCGAUACUGGGUAGCUAGAAUUUGAGAGAGGCAAGUGGAAUUUCCGGUGUAGCGGUGAAAUGCAUAGAGAUCGGAAGGAACACCAGUGGCGAAGGCGACUUGCUGGCUCAAAAUUGACGCUGAGGUGCGAAAGCGUGGGUAGCAAACAGGAUUAGAUA